AUUGAACGCUGGCGGCAUGCUUUACACAUGCAAGUCGAACGGUAACAGGCCGCAAGGUGCUGACGAGUGGCGAACGGGUGAGUAAUGCAUCGGAACGUGCCCAGUCGUUGGGGAUAACUACUCGAAAGAGUAGCUAAUACCGCAUACGAUCUAUGGAUGAAAGCGGGGGUCCGUAAGGCCUCGCGCGAUUGGAUCGGCCGAUGUCAGAUUAGGUAGUUGGUGGGGUAAAGGCUCACCAAGCCAACGAGCUGUAGCUGGUCUCAGAGGACGACCAGCCACACUGGGACUGGGACACGGCCCAGACUCCUACGGGAGGCAGCAGUGGGGAAUUUUGGACAAUGGGCGCAAGCCUGAUCCAGCAAUGCCGCGUGCAGGAAGAAGGCCUUCGGGUUGUAAACUGCUUUUGUGCGGAACGAAACGGCUCUGGUUAAUACCCGGGGCUAAUGACGGUACCGGAAGAAUAAGCACCGGCUAACUACGUG
This 482-nucleotide ribosomal RNA is filed under the name uncultured bacterium. RNAcentral describes it as "partial 16S ribosomal RNA". It matches the Rfam family "Bacterial small subunit ribosomal RNA", at positions 30 to 507 of the family's 1533-position model. The record is from RNAcentral.